This 492-nucleotide ribosomal RNA is filed under the name uncultured bacterium. RNAcentral describes it as "partial 16S ribosomal RNA". It matches the Rfam family "Bacterial small subunit ribosomal RNA", at positions 29 to 507 of the family's 1533-position model. The record is from RNAcentral.
AGUGAACGCUGGCGGUAGGCCUAACACAUGCAAGUCGAACGGCAGCACAGUAAGAGCUUGCUCUUACGGGUGGCGAGUGGCGGACGGGUGAGGAAUACAUCGGAAUCUACUUUUUCGUGGGGGAUAACGUAGGGAAACUUACGCUAAUACCGCAUACGACCUACGGGUGAAAGCAGGGGAUCUUCGCACCUUGCGCGAUUGAAUGAGCCGAUGUCGGAUUAGCUAGUUGGCGGGGUAAAGGCCCACCCAGGCGGCGAUCCGUAGCUGGUCUGAGAGGAUGAUCAGCCACACUGGAACUGAGACACGGUCCAGACUCCUACGGGAGGCAGCAGUGGGGAAUAUUGGACAAUGGGCGCAAGCCUGAUCCAGCCAUACCGCGUGGGUGAAGAAGGCCUUCGGGUUGUAAAGCCCUUUUGUUGGGAAAGAAAAGCAGCAGGUUAAUACCCCGCUGUUCUGACGGUACCCAAAGAAUAAGCACCGGCUAACUUCGUG